Molecule: ribosomal RNA, 275 nt
Filed under: uncultured bacterium
Lineage: Bacteria
Description: partial 16S ribosomal RNA
Rfam family: Bacterial small subunit ribosomal RNA
Source: RNAcentral
AUACGGAGGGUGCAAGCGUUAUCCGGAAUUAUUGGGUUUAAAGGGUCCGUAGGCGGCUAGAUAAGUCAGUGGUGAAAUUCUCUCGCUCAACGAGAGACCUGCCAUUGAUACUGUCUUGGCUAGAGUUACAGUGAGGUGAGUGGAAUGUGUAGUGUAGCGGUGAAAUGCAUAGAUAUUACACAGAACACCGAUUGCGAAGGCAGCUCACUAACUGUAUACUGACGCUGAUGGACGAAAGCGUGGGGAGCAAACGGGAUUAGAAACCCUAGUAGUCC